RNAcentral lists this ribosomal RNA (1489 nucleotides) under uncultured Microbacterium sp. RNAcentral's name for it is "bacterial SSU rRNA". It matches the Rfam family "Bacterial small subunit ribosomal RNA". The record is from RNAcentral. Lineage: Bacteria; Bacillati; Actinomycetota; Actinomycetes; Micrococcales; Microbacteriaceae.
GUUUGAUCCUGGCUCAGGAUGAACGCUGGCGGCGUGCUUAACACAUGCAAGUCGAACGGUGAAGCCAAGCUUGCUUGGUGGAUCAGUGGCGAACGGGUGAGUAACACGUGAGCAACCUGCCCUGGACUCUGGGAUAAGCGCUGGAAACGGUGUCUAAUACUGGAUAUGAGCUCUCAUCGCAUGGUGGGGGUUGGAAAGAUUUUUCGGUCUGGGAUGGGCUCGCGGCCUAUCAGCUUGUUGGUGAGGUAAAGGCUCACCAAGGCGUCGACGGGUAGCCGGCCUGAGAGGGUGACCGGCCACACUGGGACUGAGACACGGCCCAGACUCCUACGGGAGGCAGCAGUGGGGAAUAUUGCACAAUGGGCGGAAGCCUGAUGCAGCAACGCCGCGUGAGGGAUGACGGCCUUCGGGUUGUAAACCUCUUUUAGCAGGGAAGAAGCGAGAGUGACGGUACCUGCAGAAAAAGCGCCGGCUAACUACGUGCCAGCAGCCGCGGUAAUACGUAGGGCGCAAGCGUUAUCCGGAAUUAUUGGGCGUAAAGAGCUCGUAGGCGGUUUGUCGCGUCUGCUGUGAAAUCCCGAGGCUCAACCUCGGGCCUGCAGUGGGUACGGGCAGACUAGAGUGCGGUAGGGGAGAUUGGAAUUCCUGGUGUAGCGGUGGAAUGCGCAGAUAUCAGGAGGAACACCGAUGGCGAAGGCAGAUCUCUGGGCCGUAACUGACGCUGAGGAGCGAAAGGGUGGGGAGCAAACAGGCUUAGAUACCCUGGUAGUCCACCCCNNNAACGUUGGGAACUAGUUGUGGGGACCAUUCCACGGUUUCCGUGACGCAGCUAACGCAUUAAGUUCCCCGCCUGGGGAGUACGGCCGCAAGGCUAAAACUCAAAGGAAUUGACGGGGACCCGCACAAGCGGCGGAGCAUGCGGAUUAAUUCGAUGCAACGCGAAGAACCUUACCAAGGCUUGACAUACACCAGAACACCGUAGAAAUACGGGUCUCUUUGGACACUGGUGAACAGGUGGUGCAUGGUUGUCGUCAGCUCGUGUCGUGAGAUGUUGGGUUAAGUCCCGCAACGAGCGCAACCCUCGUUCUAUGUUGCCAGCACGUAAUGGUGGGAACUCAUGGGAUACUGCCGGGGUCAACUCGGAGGAAGGUGGGGAUGACGUCAAAUCAUCAUGCCCCUUAUGUCUUGGGCUUCACGCAUGCUACAAUGGCCGGUACAAAGGGCUGCAAUACCGUGAGGUGGAGCGAAUCCCAAAAAGCCGGUCCCAGUUCGGAUUGAGGUCUGCAACUCGACCUCAUGAAGUCGGAGUCGCUAGUAAUCGCAGAUCAGCAACGCUGCGGUGAAUACGUUCCCGGGUCUUGUACACACCGCCCGUCAAGUCAUGAAAGUCGGUAACACCUGAAGCCGGUGGCCCAACCCUUGUGGAGGGAGCCGUCGAAGGUGGGAUCGGUAAUUAGGACUAAGUCGUAACAAGGUAGCCGUACCGGAA